GAGUAACACGUGGGUGAUCUGCCCUGUACUUCGGGAUAAGCCUGGGAAACUGGGUCUAAUACCGGAUAUGACCUUACAUCGCAUGGUGUUUGGUGGAAAGAUUUAUCGGUACAGGAUGGGCCCGCGGCCUAUCAGCUUGUUGGUGGGGUAAUGGCCUACCAAGGCGACGACGGGUAGCCGGCCUGAGAGGGCGACCGGCCACACUGGGACUGAGACACGGCCCAGACUCCUACGGGAGGCAGCAGUGGGGAAUAUUGCACAAUGGGCGAAAGCCUGAUGCAGCGACGCCGCGUGAGGGAUGACGGCCUUCGGGUUGUAAACCUCUUUCGACAGGGACGAAGCGCAAGUGACGGUACCUGUAGAAGAAGCACCGGCCAACUACGUGC
This 386-nucleotide ribosomal RNA is filed under the name Nocardia farcinica. RNAcentral describes it as "bacterial SSU rRNA". It matches the Rfam family "Bacterial small subunit ribosomal RNA", at positions 108 to 508 of the family's 1533-position model. Lineage: Bacteria; Bacillati; Actinomycetota; Actinomycetes; Mycobacteriales; Nocardiaceae. The record is from RNAcentral.